CGUUGUCUAAUAUAUGUUGUGCUAAUAACCAAAAAAAUUGAAAGUACAACGGUAUAAAUAGGUGGAUUUUCUAUGUACAAUGUAUGAAUAAGAAAUGAAGUGGAACUUUCAAUGGUGCAGCUGUAUAUACAGAUUUAAAAUGAGCUACUUCACCAUCCUUGAUCAUAUGCAGACAUCUGAAAUACUCUUUGUUGCACUAAUUGGUGCCACGAAAUUGUCUUUGUACUAAAAAGAUGCACCAUUUUAUCAUUACCAACAACCAUAAUCAGACUACAAGAUUAAUUUUUCUGGGUUUUGAGAAUCUUGGUUAUUGGUCAUGAAUUCUAGAAUGUGAUACUUUAUAGACAGUAGUGUGUAACAAUGGGAUCAACAUGGAAAACAGAGAUGCAACCUUCAAUUGCUUCAUAAAAUUGUUCUUGUUUGUAAAUAUAUAUAAGUUUCAAACAAAUAAAGCCUAUCUUCUGCAUAUUGGAAACCACUCAAAAUACCCAACUUGGAUUUAUCACCUGCCAUGCAUAUAUAUUAAAUUUAGAGAAAAUCACAAAAAAUGAUAAUAAAAAAACUAAAAAAAACGAAACAAAACCACUGUGAAAUUAGGCAUCAAAAAACAUUAUUUAGAGGAAAAACAAGAAUUCAGUUGCAUACUUACCUUCGAGCCUUUCGGUGAUAAUUUUCGAGAGCGGGGACCGACAUGAUAGAAUCCAUGGCUUUUUAUUAAAACAAAAGUGAUAAUGAUACAUAGGUUAUGUAUAAUUAAAUCAAUACAUAACAACACAUAAGAGAAAAAUGUAAUUAGAACCAAGGGCAGGAUUUCAUGGUAGGGGUGUCACGGGAAAUUUUAGUAGUGUCAUGCUAGGAGGACAAAAAUUUCGAACAUUUUUACACUACGUCCGAAAAAGUCGGGGGUUGCCGAUGCCACUAUAGAGACCAUAGUCAAACCGCCCCUGAUUAAAACCUAUUUAAAUGACAAUUUCCUACAUAUUUUAUAAUGUCUUUUGGAUGUUGCCAUAAAUUUUAGCAUAAAGUGCUUUUCAACGAUUAAUACCAGCACAUAUGACAUAUGGGUGCAAAGUGCCAUAAAUAAACGGUUGGGGUUGUUUUUGUUAAAAAAUAGUGAUUAAAACAAUGAUACAAUCUCCUUCAAUAGUAAAACAUGACUUAACUAAAAUGUAAACAAGGCAAGCCCAUGAUACAUCCAAUUGAUUACAAAAGAUGUAUUAACUUUUUUGCAACUAAAUAUAUAAGGGCCAAUUUCCUUUUAUAUUAAGUAAAAAAAACAUACACUAACUUACAUCAGUAAACACAUGAAAUUAAUAGGCAAGAAAUACAUAAUCAUUUAGCGUUCUUGCAAUUAGGAGAACAUCCUUUAAUGCAUAAGAGAAUGAUAUUGGCAAGAAAUAUAUUCCAAACCCUGAAUGUUUCUAAAGAUAAACUGCAAAAAACCAUAGCCGACAAACAAUAACAAGAAACUUGAGUAAUUUUCCACUCAAAACAAAAAGAAACCCACCAAGAUCGGAUAGCAUUCACCUUGUUUUUUACUGAAAUAAAAUCAUGAAACUUGAGUAAUUUUCCAGGCAAUUGAAAUUACUUGGUCACAUCUUUUUUCUCCACAUUACUAAAUUUCUUCAGAUGGAAGGUCUUGCUAGUAAAAUAUUCCCAAUUUCUACAAUAACUUAAGGGAAAAAAAUCUAUCUUUUUGCUUAAUUAUUUCUGAACUGGGGGUUCCAAUUUAACGUAAAUGUCAUCAGUGUUAUAACAACCAUUAAUAAUAAUUUUUUGUCUAGCUCGAGCAGUGAUUUUUUUUUAUCAUCAGACAGUGAUCUACUGUCUGGAAUGAUGCAGGGUAAAUUAGAACCGUUAAUCCACAUGAGAAGUUGAUGUAAGAUAGGGAUUGGUGGUGGUACAAAGAGGAAUGGGAUCUUGAGUGGAACAAAAAUACAAAACCUCAUACUAAUACGCUUCAAUAGCAUAAAUAAAUGGCCCAAAACUAAUAGCCUUAAGUGUCCUUACAAAAAUCUGAAUCUUAAUAGGGCUGAAUUAUCAUGGGGCAUUCCUCUUCGUUUAUCCUGCAUAAACAAACCACAACAUAGGUUAAGAAGUAGGUGGCGCUGCUACUACCGUAAAUGCUAAGGAUAACUUAUGGAAGAAAUUGGAACUGAAGAAUUAAAAGUUUACCUUCUGCAAUAAAAUCCUUGUUCUUCAAAUUAAAAAUCCCUAAUUUCCAAAAAAUCGCAUUAAGAUGAAGAUGCCAGGCGAUUUUUCUGGAGUCAUUGUUAGGUUUCCUUUUCCUAAAUAUCAAUCUAACUGCAAAUCCAUCAAAAAACCACUGAUAACCUCCAUCGACGAUGUGUUUGUAAAGAGAGAAAUAGGAAAGAAAUUAGCGUUGUCAUCAAAUUCGCCGUCUCUAAUCUUCCCUACAAGUGGGACAAAUUCAACGUUUGAGAUUGUAAGUGAAUACUGAAUGUUUGUGAUACCGAAUGUUUUUUCACUAAAUUGGUGGCCACUUUGGCCACUAAAUUGGUAGAUGGAACGCAGGAUAUGUGAAGAAUGUGUGAUGAAACGUAUAUGAGGAAUUGAAACACCAAACGCUAUGUGAUGAAGAGUUUUUGACCAUAACAGAGUCCUUUGAAAAAAUAUUUACCGUAUUCGGGUUGUUUCAAAAAUAUUUACUA
RNAcentral lists this long non-coding RNA (2672 nucleotides) under Lactuca sativa (garden lettuce). RNAcentral describes it as "long non-coding RNA (LSAT_LNC007789)". Lineage: Eukaryota; Viridiplantae; Streptophyta; Magnoliopsida; Asterales; Asteraceae. The record is from RNAcentral.